RNAcentral lists this ribosomal RNA (439 nucleotides) under uncultured bacterium. RNAcentral's name for it is "partial 16S ribosomal RNA". It matches the Rfam family "Bacterial small subunit ribosomal RNA", at positions 339 to 795 of the family's 1533-position model. The record is from RNAcentral.
CUACGGGCCGCUGCAGUGGGGAAUAUUGCACAAUGGAGGAAACUCUGAUGCAGCAACGCCGCGUGGAGGAUGACACUUUUCGGAGCGUAAACUCCUUUUACAUAGGAAGAAGAUGACGGUACUAUAUGAAUAAGCGCCGGCUAACUCCGUGCCAGCAGCCGCGGUAAUACGGAGGGCGCAAGCGUUACUCGGAAUCACUGGGUGUAAAGAGCGUGUAGGCGGAUUAAAAAGUCAGAAGUGAAAUCCUAUAGCUUAACUAUAGAACUGCUUCUGAAACUCUUAAUCUAGAAUAUGGGAGAGGUAGAUGGAAUUUCUGGUGUAGGGGUAAAAUCCGUAGAGAUCAGAAGGAAUACCGAUUGCGAAGGCGAUCUACUAGAACAUUAUUGACGCUGAGACGCGAAAGCGUGGGGAGCAAACAGGAUUAGAUACCCCAGUAGUC